Long non-coding RNA from Spinacia oleracea (spinach), 1467 nucleotides. RefSeq lists it as uncharacterized. The record is from RefSeq and is a predicted model, not a curated record. Lineage: Eukaryota; Viridiplantae; Streptophyta; Magnoliopsida; Caryophyllales; Amaranthaceae. The transcript has 5 exons.
UCCCCCUUUGUUAUUUUUAAUCAACUCUUUACUCCUAGCGCAAAACCACAAGCGGACCCUCUCAGUUCAACCUCGCCGUCGUAACUCAGGUGUUGCUCCACCUUAGAUUCACGCUGCUGUCGCAUUCUUCUCGCUGCUAGUUACUGCUUCUCCUUGUUGGUUUCGAUGAUGUUGCUGUAAGUUCUAAAAAAUUAGGUGUUUGAAGAUGCAUAAUUAUGAGGAUUUCAUGAAACUCUACAAAUAGAUUUUGGGAUAUUGGGUCGAGAUUGAUUCUUUUGCUGAAGGAAAUUCUAUUGACGUCGUUCCUCUGCUAGAAGUGUUGACAUAGGUACUUCCAGCUUCUCAGCUGGAAGUACUGAUGUUGUUCCUUUGUUAGAGUCGUUUUCUUGCAGAUGUUAGAAGGAAUGGAGAAAGAGAAACACAAGAAGCACAUGGUGCAGAUGUACAACUACCCAAUCACAGAGAAUGAACUCUUGGUAAAUGAGAUAGUCCAUGAACAUUGUCAUGGUUCACCAACAAGCUCUACAUGGAUGAUGAAGCUGAGAACGAUUUUAAGGUGAAAAUUAAAGAGACAAUGGAGAAAGCCUUUUGGGAUGGUAUCUUGGAAUCUAUGAACCAGAAGCAGCCUGACUUCAGUUGGGUUCUUAAACUUACGGCAGAAAUUAGGGAUGGACUGUGCAAGAUGUCUCCCUGUAGCUGGCGACAUGAGAUUAUUGAUACGAUUAAUAUUGAUAUCCUUUCACAUGUAGUUUAAUUUUUCAAGCCUGUGGACACCAUGGUGCUUCAUAGACAUAUCAUUUAUCAUAGGAACAAUGCUAUCUAUUGUCAUAUAACUUACUAUUGUAUGUUUGUUGUUGAUCGUCCUUCGUUUUCUUAGGUUUUAAAAGUUGGAACUACUUGGGAAAUUUACUGGAGUAUGCAUUGACCACUCUGCAAAGCCUGUCAGCCCCAGGAAAUGAUGAUGAGAUAAAGGCUGCUCACCUAAGCAUGUUAAAAGAACUGAGUGAGGUCUCACAUUCUGGAGAUAAUACAAAAUCUUCAUAUGCCAUAGCAGUUAUCAAGGGUCUUAGUUUUGUCUUAAAUGAGAUUCAGGUACGAAGUACAUGCUGCUGAUAGAAAUAAUAUCCCUGUAUCCCAGAGUGAGCUACAUAAACUUCUUGAAAAUCCAUCGUUAACUGGGAUUCAUAUACUCGUUCUCGGCAACAAAAUUGACAAUCAGAAGUUAUUGCACAGCAAGCAUUGAUAUAUCAGAUGUAAGUUCAGUUAAAUUGCACUCCUGUUAUAAUCAUCACAUUAUAUUUUGCGCCUUUCCUUGAUUUGGUACUGUAUAACUAUCGUAUGCUUAGUUUUUUCUUGCUAUUUUUUUUAUGAUGGUACCGAUGGGCAAUCCCACCAAUUGGAAGUCCAUCCUUUGUGAAUACUCUCAGAUCCAUCAAGCUUGUAGUUAAUAAAUUAUAUUUUUGUUUA